CCUACGGGGGACAGCAGUGGGGAAUAUUGGGCAAUGGGCGCAAGCCUGACCCAGCAACGCCGCGUGAAGGAAGAAGGCCCUCGGGUUGUAAACUUCUUUUAUUCGGGACGAAACAAAUGACGGUACCGGAGGAAUAAGCCACGGCUAACUACGUGCCAGCAGCCGCGGUAAUACGUAGGGGGCAAGCGUUAUCCGGAAUUACUGGGUGUAAAGGGAGAGUAGGCGGGAAGGUAAGCUAGAUGUGAAAACCAUGGGCUGAACCUGUGGAUUGCAUAAGAAACUAUCUAGCUAGAGUACAGGAGAGGCAGGCGGAAUUCGUGGUGUAGCGGUGAAAUGCGUAGAUAUUAGGAAGAACACCAGUGGCGAAGGCGGCUUGCUGGACUGAAACUGACGCUGAGGCGCGAAAGCGUGGGGAGCGAACAGGAUUAGAUACCCUAGUAGUC
This 443-nucleotide ribosomal RNA is filed under the name uncultured bacterium. Its description in RNAcentral is "partial 16S ribosomal RNA". It matches the Rfam family "Bacterial small subunit ribosomal RNA", at positions 338 to 795 of the family's 1533-position model. The record is from RNAcentral.